Molecule: ribosomal RNA, 494 nt
Filed under: uncultured bacterium
Lineage: Bacteria
Description: partial 16S ribosomal RNA
Rfam family: Bacterial small subunit ribosomal RNA
Source: RNAcentral
GACGAACGCUGGCGGCGUGCUUAACACAUGCAAGUCGAACGGAAAGGCCUGCUUUCCCUUGUGGAUUGCGGGUACUCGAGUGGCGAACGGGUGAGUAACACGUGAGUGAUCUGCCCCCAACUUGGGUAUAAGCCUGGGAAACUGUGUCUAAUUCCCGAUAGGACUGCAGGGUGGUGCCUGUGGUGGAAAACGAUUUUCUAGUGGUUGGGGAUGGGCUCGCGGCCUAUCAGCUUGUUGGUGGGGUAAUGGCCUACCAAGGCGGCGACGGGUAGCCGGCCUGAGAGGGUGGACGGCCACAUUGGGACUGAGAUACGGCCCAGACUCCUACGGGAGGCAGCAGUGGGGAAUAUUGCACAAUGGGCGGAAGCCUGAUGCAGCGACGCCGCGUGGGGGAUGACGGCCUUCGGGUUGUAAACUCCUUUCGACCGCGAGGAAGCCACCUGGUUGGAAGGGUGGUGACGGUAGUGGUAGAAGAAGCACCGGCUAACUACGUG